GCUCCUGACUCUCCUCACAGGUCAACUCGAGGUCGGAAAGAUGUCAACAACGCUGGAAGACUACAUGGAGGGCGUUAUUAAUGUCUUCCACCGGUACUCUGUGAGGGUGGGGCAUUUUGACACUCUCUCUAAGGGUGAGCUGAAGCAGCUGAUCACAAAGGAACUUCCAAACACCCUCAAGAAUACCAAAGAUAAAGCUGCCAUUGAUAAACUAUUCCAAGAGCUGGAUGCUGAUCGUGACGGACAGGUCGACUUUAGGGAGUUCCUGAUCCUGUUGGCCAGAGUACUGGAGACAGCUCAUGAAAAUAUCCACAAAGAAUAGGAAACUCUCCCAGAAUUUCUCUCCUAGCAAUGUCCGCAAGAGAUUUCUCACUCCAUCACCAACUCCCAGCCUUGCCUGAGGGAAGGGAUAGGGUGCAAAACAAGUGACAAUGACCUAAGAAUGAUAAGCCUAACAAAGCACCCAUCUUGGGACAAGAAAAGCAGGAUGUUGCCAGAUAAAACCUCCAAGAAAAGAUGAACUCAUCUGGGACGUGACCACCUCAAGGGGGAACUAACACAAACUUCUAAGACCCAUAAUCUUGUCCCUGUAAAAGUCUUCAGCCAAUUUCCAGUGGGGGAGACUGUUUUUUUGGAGGA
This is an RNA transcript of Trichechus manatus latirostris (Florida manatee), 639 nucleotides long. It is a transcript of the gene named protein S100-A12-like, with no coding region annotated. The record is from RefSeq and is a predicted model, not a curated record. The transcript has 3 exons. Lineage: Eukaryota; Metazoa; Chordata; Mammalia; Sirenia; Trichechidae.